AUACGGAGGGUGCAAGCGUUACUCGGAAUCACUGGGCGUAAAGCGCGCGCAGGCGGCUUGAUAAGUUGGAUGUGAAAGCCUACGGCUCAACCGUAGAACUGCAUCCAAAACUGUCAGGCUAGAGUGUGGGAGAGGAAGAUGGAAUUAGUUGUGUAGGGGUAAAAUCCGUAGAGAUAACUAGGAAUACCAAAAGCGAGGGCAAUCUUCUGGAACACUACUGACGCUGAGGCGCGAAGGCGUGGGGAGCAAACAGGAUUAGAAACCCUAGUAGUCC
RNAcentral lists this ribosomal RNA (274 nucleotides) under uncultured bacterium. Its description in RNAcentral is "partial 16S ribosomal RNA". It matches the Rfam family "Bacterial small subunit ribosomal RNA", at positions 523 to 796 of the family's 1533-position model. The record is from RNAcentral.